GUCCAUGCCGUAAACUAUGGAUGCUAGCUGUUAUCGGUAUCGACCCCGGUAGUAGCGAAGCUAACGCGUUAAGCAUCCCGCCUGUGGAGUACGGUCGCAAGACUAAAACAUAAAGGAAUUGACGGGGACCCGCACAAGCGGUGGAGCGUGUUGUUUAAUUCGUAGGUAAGCGAAGAACCUUACCCAGGCUUGACAUCUCGGGAAUUUCUCCGAAAGGAGAGAGUGCCGUAAGGAACCCGAAGACAGGUGUUGCAUGGCCGUUGU
RNAcentral lists this ribosomal RNA (264 nucleotides) under uncultured bacterium. RNAcentral describes it as "partial 16S ribosomal RNA". It matches the Rfam family "Bacterial small subunit ribosomal RNA", at positions 793 to 1055 of the family's 1533-position model. The record is from RNAcentral.